RNAcentral lists this ribosomal RNA (541 nucleotides) under uncultured bacterium. RNAcentral describes it as "bacterial SSU rRNA". It matches the Rfam family "Bacterial small subunit ribosomal RNA", at positions 8 to 545 of the family's 1533-position model. The record is from RNAcentral.
AGAGUUUGAUCCUGGCUCAGGAUGAACGCUAGCGGCAGGCCUAAUACAUGCAAGUCGAACGGCAUCGCGGGUAGCAAUACCUGGCGGCGAGUGGCGGAUGGGUGCGUAACACGUAUGCAACCUACCCAUUACUGGGAAAUAGCUCGAAGAAAUUCGAAUUAAUGUCCCAUAAUAUCUUUUAGUGGCAUCACUUUUAGAUUAAAGAUUUAUCGGUAAUGGAUGGGCAUGCGUUUGAUUAGCUAGUUGGUGAGGUAAUGGCUCACCAAGGCUACGAUCAAUAGGGGGUCUGAGAGGAUGGUCCCCCACACUGGUACUGAGAUACGGACCAGACUCCUACGGGAGGCAGCAGUAGGGAAUAUUGGGCAAUGGAGGCAACUCUGACCCAGCCAUGCCGCGUGAAGGAUGGAGGCGUUCUGCGUUGUAAACUUCUUUUAUAUGGGAAGAAACGACUCUUGCGAGAGGCAUUGACGGUACCAUAUGAAUAAGCACCGGCUAACUCCGUGCCAGCAGCCGCGGUAAUACGGAGGGUGCAAGCGUUGUU